RNAcentral lists this ribosomal RNA (267 nucleotides) under uncultured bacterium. RNAcentral describes it as "partial small subunit ribosomal RNA". It matches the Rfam family "Bacterial small subunit ribosomal RNA", at positions 26 to 281 of the family's 1533-position model. The record is from RNAcentral.
AGAAUCAACGCUGGCGGCGUGCCUAACACAUGCAAGUCGAACGCGGUUGCCUCGCAAGGGGCAACUGAGUGGCGAACGGGUGAGUAACACGUGGGUGACCUACCUUCGAGUGGGGGGAUAACGUCCCGAAAGGGACGCUAAUACCGCAUAACAUCCUUCCUUUGAACAGGUGGAGAUCAAAGCUGGGGAUCGUAAGACCUGGCGUUUGAAGAGGGGCCCGCGUCCGAUUAGCUAGUUGGUGAGGUAACGCCCACCAAGGCGACGAUC